Molecule: long non-coding RNA, 721 nt
Organism: Perca fluviatilis (European perch)
Lineage: Eukaryota; Metazoa; Chordata; Actinopteri; Perciformes; Percidae
Exons: 4
Source: RefSeq, a predicted model, not a curated record
AACAGCACUGCAGGAUGGAAACAUUGGUCUCAUCAAUGCACAAAUCAUCGAGACUACAGGAACUGAAGGAGGAAACAUCACAGUUAGAUGCUCCUUCACUUUCUCUGGAUAUAGGAAGAUCUUUUGUAAGGAUGAAUGUAAAGAUGGAGACAUUCUCAUUGAGACAGAAGAGGACACAGCUCAGAGAUCCGAGUUACAGAUGCUCCAACCUCUCCUCUCAGACCUUCUUCACCAUCAGUCCCAUCAGCCUCCACACUGAUGACCUCACACAGUUUAAGCUCCACACCUUCAUCAGCCUCCACACUGAUGACAUCACAGAGUUUAAGCUCCACACCUUCAUCAGCCUCCCCUGAAGCCAGCGAGCAGCCUCGACAGAAACACACAGCUCCAGAGCGAAAGAGAGCUGUGCCUGAAUCAACUAUCGUCACGGAGUUAUAGGCAGUAAAAUGGUGGAGGAGGUGAAAAGGCUACGCAGGGGAGGCCCAGUCCACAGAGGGAUAUUGAAUCACAUCGAUUCUUCACAUCCCAGAGACUUCCAGGGUUUAGAGAUUCCCAGUUCAGUGGGCUGGGUGGCGAGCUACAGGAUCGAGACUCUGAACGUAGACGGAUUUCCCUUGAUUUAUUCUUCAUGGUGGAAGGACAAACGGAAACCAAACUCAUAUGGGCCCCAAUGUUGAACAUCUCUGAACUCUUGUCAUCAAAGAACAAUUGAGCUCAUAGA